ACAAGCAUUAUUGCCAAAGAGAGGACAACGAAAAUAUGUAACUUAGCUAGUGGUCCUAGCUACCAGCAAGUUACACCAAAAAGAAGAUGGAGCCUCCUAACACAACAGCCCGAACCAAACGUCAACAUUGAAGAACACGAAGAUCUACAUCGGCACGGUAGACGGUUGGUUACAGUGAUAAAUAGAAGGGAAGGGAAGGAAAAUAGAGGGGAGGGUGAACUUACGAAGAUGGAUCUUCAACUCAUCAAGGAUGAACUCAGCCCACCUGAAGUCAACGCAAGUUAGAUCGGAGGAGAUCAGGAUGAAGGAAAGAAAGAGUAGAAACUUACCAUGGAAAGAUGGCGCCCACAACCAUGGAUGGAGCUGGAAAUUCCAAGCGGAGCUUCAGCUUCUCGUAUGAUAGCGAGCUUGAGAAGAGUCUGGAACACUUCUUUGAACAAUGUCUAGAUUAGG
This 453-nucleotide long non-coding RNA is filed under the name Solanum tuberosum (potato). RNAcentral's name for it is "long non-coding RNA (STUB_LNC002493)". The record is from RNAcentral. Lineage: Eukaryota; Viridiplantae; Streptophyta; Magnoliopsida; Solanales; Solanaceae.